UGGGGAAUAUUGCACAAUGGGGGAAACCCUGAUGCAGCGACGCCGCGUGAAGGAAGAAGGUAUUCGUAUUGUAAACUUCUGUCGCAGAUGACGAAUUGAUGACGGUAAUCUGCAAGAAAGCACCGGCUAACUACGUGCCAGCAGCCGCGGUAAAACGUAGGGUGCUAGCGUUGUCCGGAAUUACUGGGUGUAAAGGGAGCGCAGGUGGCAGUGCAAGUUGGAUGUAAAAUCUACGGGCUCAACCCGUAUAAGCAUUCAAAACUGUGCAGCUUGAGUGAAGUAGAGGUAGGUGGAAUUUCCGGUGUAGCGGUGGAAUGCGUAGAUAUCGGAAGGAACAUCAGUGGCGAAGGCGACCUACUGGGCUUUAACUGACGCUGAGGCUCGAAAGCAUGGGUAGCAA
Molecule: ribosomal RNA, 400 nt
Filed under: uncultured bacterium
Lineage: Bacteria
Description: bacterial SSU rRNA
Rfam family: Bacterial small subunit ribosomal RNA
Source: RNAcentral